CCGGCAGGAAAAAAGGAGGAGCGUCUUUUCUCUACGUCACUGGCAAGGAUUGCUUCACUGGACGCCCACUUGGACCUUUAAGCGCAGCCAAUCGCGCGUCAACGACCUCGUUGUUGCUCGACAAACAACCAGAAGUGGUUUUCCUAAACAAUCGACUGGUCAGGUUACGGGAAUGGUGACCACGUGCGGUUAGACGUCCAUGAGAAAAUGUGAAAAAAAUAGAUUUCUUUUUUACGAGUUUCAACUUGUCCCACUUUUUUUUGUAUAGGAACCCCUUUAGGGAAGCGGAGAACUAGAAGGAUGAGAGUAUUCGGACGAAAUCUCGCCACGAAAUCUUGACGGGUUGUAUUCCAUUCUAGACAUGCUCCUUAAUCUAGCCACGUCCAAGUCACGCAUUCUACAGCGUCUCGUUGCGUACGUGUCACGUCUGUCUGCCGUCUGGGAAAGGGAAGGACUCGGGUGUCUGGAGGCCGUUGCAUCAUGAGAAUGAAUCCAGUGAUCCUUCCCGAGUACCGUAUUAAGAAAAUUGGCUACGUUACGCCGGUUUUGUAACAGCCUUCGGACGAACACGAAGUAGCGUCGGCACGUGGAAAUCUAGUCAAGAAGAUUUCUUCAAUUUCUUCAAGGAUCUUUCAUUUUUAUCAUUAUGAAGAAUUUAUUGUAUAGUUGGACAGGUCUUCGAUCAACCAGGCGAAUAUUGUAUUACAGAAUAAUCUUUAAAAUAUUAUAAAAAGUAUCAUAACUUUUAGGAGAAAAAACUUGGAAGCUGUUCUGGAUGAAAAAAAUUAACGCGAGAUGAUUGGUAGGUGGCGGAGGUCAGAAGGCUGAAGAAAAUGUUAGAUCCCGAAACGGUGAACGACGACCUGAUUAACGACGUCAAAAAAUGCACGUUGCAUCGUCUGGCGGUGAGGUGGGGAGCCACUGACGAAAACUUCCUCCUCGCUCUCCGUUGCGCAUCUCGCAUCAUCUUUGUCGGCAUAGGAAGAGAGACGCAUAGACAAGGUCAGCGCAUUAAAUUAAAAUGUAUUACAUAACCUCAUAAGAGAGCAGUCCUAACUGCAGUCUGACUAGACACCCGGUGAUUAUGAGGGUGCUCAACUUAAGGCUGCUGCGUCGUUGCGAUCUAACUCACGUCCGCUUUACUAUAGACAUUGUAAGAAAUAAAUUAAUCCGUCUGAUACUAUAGAACCACUUUACAUCAGCCUCUCCCCUUGAUCUGCGUCCCUAAUCCACGUUGUUACCGUUGAGUAACACGUAUAAUUCUUUAGAUGAAGUAACUGCGAUUACUCUGUUCCUUUUCCUUCGACUGAAACCAGGCUAACCUUUGAAAUCGAGCAAGAGGAUUCUAGUAUCGGUGGAUUGUCCAGAUCACCCUGUAGAGUCCCGAGGAAGAAGCGGAACGACGGGUACACCGGAGGACUCUCAGCAGGCUACGCCAGUGCCGACACGAAUGCAUUUACGCGUCUAGACUUAAUAAAAUAAAAGAAACGCCUUCGCACCAGAGGCCAAGGUGGUGGAGGAGAAGGAGGGCGAUUUAAAAACAUAGCUAGGGACCACGGCGGAAUUUCCACAGCGCGUCCUUCCUGGCUUGCUUUUCGUUCCCGCGUCUGUCUUUCUCGACCACUCUGGUCGAUAAAUCAUUUUUCGCUGGCACCAGAAAUCUCUAAACGAUAUUAUGAAUCACUAAUUUUAUCACGAAAUCUUGACAUAAUCAUUUUAAAAUAGUUUACGUUCGUAACUGGAUUUGUUCAGAAAAAUAUCAGCGAGGAAAAGGGAGGCGAAGCGGUUGAAGAAGCGGACGCUGGUCAGCCCGAGGCGUAGAAAUUCAGUGGCGCUUCGUGGUUCUUCGUUUCAUCACGGUAGCCAUCGUCCAGGAUAAACUUUGCUAGACUACACCUCCUCCUCCUUCUUCUCCUACACACCUUCACAUCAGAAGAUGCCUGGAAAAUUCUGAAUCAAAUUUUCGUUGAACGCAUCGUGCGUUCGGACCAGUCUAC
Long non-coding RNA from Bombus huntii, 1997 nucleotides. RefSeq lists it as uncharacterized. The transcript is spliced from 3 exons. The record is from RefSeq and is a predicted model, not a curated record. NCBI's taxonomy places the organism in Eukaryota, Metazoa, Arthropoda, Insecta, Hymenoptera, Apidae.